ACUAAAUCAGGAAGUGAAGAUUUGGGUCUCUGCAAGUGAGGAGGGCUGGCUGUUAACUAGCGAUUCUGAAUCAUGGCAGUGUAGUCAGACUUUGACCUUAAAGUGUUCUACUGAAUCUGCUGUUGAGGAUGCAUUCUUUAACGAAGUUGUAGCACUGCCCAAUGCUGGCUUAUUUCUCUUGGCAAAUGCCAAGAAGAAUGCUAUUUAUGCAAU
RNAcentral lists this unclassified non-coding RNA (213 nucleotides) under Hevea brasiliensis (rubber tree). The record is from RNAcentral. Lineage: Eukaryota; Viridiplantae; Streptophyta; Magnoliopsida; Malpighiales; Euphorbiaceae.